GAUGAACGCUGGCGGCGUGCCUAAUACAUGCAAGUCGAGCGAACGGACGAGAAGCUUGCUUUUCUGAUGUUAGCGGCGGACGGGUGAGUAACACGUGGAUAACCUACCUAUAAGACUGGGAUAACUUCGGGAAACCGGAGCUAAUACCGGAUAAUAUUUUGAACCGCAUGGUUCAAAAGUGAAAGACGGUCUUGCUGUCACUUAUAGAUGGAUCCGCGCUGCAUUAGCUAGUUGGUAAGGUAACGGCUUACCAAGGCAACGAUGCAUAGCCGACCUGAGAGGGUGAUCGCCCACACUGGAACGGAGCCACGGCCCAGACUCCUACGGGAGGCAGCAGUAGGGAAUCUUCCGCAAUGGGCGAAAGCCUGACGGAGCAACGCCGCGUGAGUGAUGAAGGUCUUCGGAUCGUAAAACUCUGUUAUUAGGGAAGAACAUAUGUGUAAGUAACUGUGCACAUCGUGACGGUACCUAAUCAGAAAGCCACGGCUAACUACGUG
Molecule: ribosomal RNA, 497 nt
Filed under: uncultured bacterium
Lineage: Bacteria
Description: partial 16S ribosomal RNA
Rfam family: Bacterial small subunit ribosomal RNA
Source: RNAcentral